Molecule: small nuclear RNA, 20 nt
Filed under: Arabidopsis thaliana (thale cress)
Lineage: Eukaryota; Viridiplantae; Streptophyta; Magnoliopsida; Brassicales; Brassicaceae
Description: snRNA_05359
Source: RNAcentral
GUUAUCAAUCAUCACUUGAU